CAGCAGUCAAGAAUAUUAGUCAAUGGCCUAACGGCUGAACUGGCAACUUGGAGAAGUGGCAAGUCUCAUAGGAUGGGCUGGUGCUACCCCCAUUUCUAUAAGAUUGUAUUAGGGUUGAAUGAAGCUUUGUUUAUAUAUUGAUAAUGACAGUAUAUAUAUCGUGUCUUGACUAAUUGCGUGCCAGCAGUCGCGGUAAUACGUAAGAGACUAGUGUUAUUCAUCUUAAUUAGGUUUAAAGGGUACCCAGACGGUCAAUAUAGCUUCUAAAAUGUUAGUACUUGACUAGAGUUUUAUGUAAGAGGGCAGUACUUGAGGAGGAGAGAUGAAAUUCCGUGAUACCAAAGGGACUCUGUAAAGGCGAAGGCAGCCCUCUAUGUAAAAACUGACGUUGAAGGACGAAGGCACAGAGAACAAACAGGAUUAGAUACCCAAGUAGUCUUUGCAGUAAAUGAUGAAUGCCAUAGGUCAGAUUAAUGUAGAUGAGGGACUAUACAUUAAACGUUAUUUGGUCUAUAAAUGAAAGUGUAAGCAUUCCACCUCAAGAGUAAUGUGGCAACGCAGGAACUGAAAUCACUAGACCGUUUCUGACACCAGUAGUGAAGUAUGUUAUUUAAUUCGAUAAUCCGCA
RNAcentral lists this ribosomal RNA (628 nucleotides) under Fusarium solani. RNAcentral describes it as "SSU rRNA". It matches the Rfam family "Bacterial small subunit ribosomal RNA", at positions 349 to 963 of the family's 1533-position model. Lineage: Eukaryota; Fungi; Ascomycota; Sordariomycetes; Hypocreales; Nectriaceae. The record is from RNAcentral.